This 468-nucleotide ribosomal RNA is filed under the name uncultured bacterium. RNAcentral's name for it is "partial 16S ribosomal RNA". It matches the Rfam family "Bacterial small subunit ribosomal RNA", at positions 28 to 507 of the family's 1533-position model. The record is from RNAcentral.
GACGAACGCUGGCGGCGUGCUUAACACAUGCAAGUCGAACGGAAAGGCCCUGCUUUUGUGGGGUGCUCGAGUGGCGAACGGGUGAGUAACACGUGAGUAACCUGCCCUUGACUUUGGGAUAACUUCAGGAAACUGGGGCUAAUACCGGAUAGGAGCUCUUGCUGCAUGGUGGGGGUUGGAAAGUUUCGGCGGUUGGGGAUGGACUCGCGGCUUAUCAGCUUGUUGGUGGGGUAGUGGCUUACCAAGGCUUUGACGGGUAGCCGGCCUGAGAGGGUGACCGGCCACAUUGGGACUGAGAUACGGCCCAGACUCCUACGGGAGGCAGCAGUGGGGAAUAUUACACAAUGGGCGGAAGCCUGAGGCAGCAACGCCGCGUGCGGGAUGACGGCCUUCGGGUUGUAAACCGCUUUCGCCUGUGACGAAGCGUGAGUGACGGUAAUGGGUAAAGAAGCACCGGCUAACUACGUG